Molecule: long non-coding RNA, 2713 nt
Organism: Cyprinus carpio (common carp)
Lineage: Eukaryota; Metazoa; Chordata; Actinopteri; Cypriniformes; Cyprinidae
Source: Ensembl
ACUGAAGUGUUUACUCUAGUCUAAAGUUAGGCAUUUGGCAUCUCAAACGAGCCUAUCAUCUUUCUGUGUUUGUGGUUGUUGUGCAUGAAUAGGUUGAUUGAACUAAAACCAAACAACUUUAAUGGAACCAGUAGCCUUUCUAAUAAAGUCAGCAGGACUGCCUAAUCAGGUCAUGCUUCAUCCUAAUUAACUCAUCCUGAUUAAUAGGUCUAAUUACUUGGGUGUGGCUUUCUUUGGGUUCACAACACACUCUUGAUUUAAACUUGAGGAAAAUUAUUGGUUCACUUUGUUUUUUUUAAUUUUGUGAAAGCUUUUCCCUUGGUGUAGAGAACUUCAAGCUAUGGCUGCUAUAUCAACCCAAGAUCCCACUGGCGGUAUUGCAAGUGUACUCCGUAGACCACAGCAUGCACAGGCCCCUCAGUGCCCUGGUCCUCUGCCAUCCAGAAUAUUACACCCAGAAGAGCUGCUCCAGCGAAACCAGCCCUUUUACAUCCCCACUGUCCAGCCGUUCUUCCCAUAUCAAUGGUCCAUGUCAACUCCAUAUGUGCCCUAUGGUGGAUUUCAUGGAUUGGGUUAUGGCAUGAUGCCAUCAUUAUUACUUCCCCAGUGUUUAGAAGUUCCUGGAUACAUGAUUCCUCAAACUCAACUGCACAUGUUGGACUACAGACGUAUGACUCCCCAUGUGGCUCCAACUAUUGCUCAUCAGACCCGCCACUUGCAUUUUCAAAACGGGAUGCCCCCUGGUCGUGUGAUGGUCAGCUCAGAGGUGCAAACUGAACCCCUUUGUCAUAGCAUAGACUCACACGAACGUGCAAUAUCCCACAGUUGUUCUGAAUCCGGUAGGGGUACUGGCAGUCCAGUGUCAACAUCACCCAGCUCCCUGGAUAACAAAUCAGUAGCUUGCCCUGAUGGUACAUCCGUGCUAACUCAAAAUUACAAUGCCACCAAUGCUAUCAACACUACUGAUUUGUCUGCUGUUCCCAAGAGUGAAAUCCUUCAAGCUGAACAUAUGCAAAUUAAAUGUGAAAAAAUGCUUUCUGAGCAUAAGAAGUUUCAGAACAAGGAUAACAUGGAGUUAGCUAGUCAUAAUGAAACUGACCUUUUGCAGUGCAGCUUGGGUUCUGUACAGUCUUCAGGGGACAUCGUCUUGUGCUCUUACCAGUCAUUAGCAUUUAGGAAGGAUAAACAGAGGGUUGAAGCUGGGAUGUUAAGGUACUCCAGGAAGCAUUGUCUCCCUGCUUGUACAGAAGUUACUGUGGCGAGAACCUCUCCAUCUUGUAGAGCUUUUAAAACCUGUCCUUUACCAAGCAGAUCUGUCAUUACCCAAAGCAUCAAACCAAAGAAAAACUCGGAGAUGCCAUUUCAGGAAAAGAGCAGAGAAGAUGGCCACACCUUCAAUAACAUUGACUUUAAGAUUCUGCGACUGCCAUUUGACAUGGAGAACCAUAACCAGCCUUGUCAGCUGGAGGCUUCUAUCUGGUCAGUAGAGUCUCUGAUACCUUAUGUCCCUUCCACUGAGUGGAUGACAGAUAAUGGUCUUCUAACUCCUCAGAAACCUUUGAGCCCACUGAAUGAACACAGUGAUGUUAUCUCAAAGCCAAAUUAUGUUCAUGAAGGGAAUCUACAACCUGGGGCAUCAGUUAAAUAUCAUGGUCAUCCAUGUCAGCUAGAGGCCUCUAUCUGGUCAGUAGACUCUUUGAUGCCUUAUGUGCCUUCCAAUGAGUGGAUGGUUGAGAAUGGGUUUUUAACUCCUCAGAAGCCACUGAGCCCACAGAUUAAAUCUAGUGAUCUAUCAAAGCAGAAUCAGUCUUCCACUGGCAUUCCAGCAGAGAAGAAUCUACAAACUGGUGCAUCAACUAAACAUGACUCCUUUAACUCCCUUGAGUCCCGCUCCCCAUACCGUCCCUCAACAAGCUGGCUGGCUGACUUUGGUAAUGUAUACUACUACAGUAAAUUACCUGUUGUACAGCAACAUCCUCACCUUCCAGAGAAGCAGAAACCAAAGAUGUCCCUUGCCAUUAGUCUUGAAUCAUCUCCUCUCAGAAAUGGGAAAAACACAAAGAACCAUAGCCCAGAAACUGGCCUCUCUGAUCAGAAGCACUGUUCAUUUCAUACCUGCAAGUGCAAAGCAAAAAGUAAUUUGGGGUUAGCUGGAUCUUCCAUGAAGUGUGGUUGGGUUUCUCGUUCCACACUGGAGAAUGAACUUCCCUUCUGCCCAUCAUGUAGAUAUGAUGUGAAAGGAAAGGAUCAUAGAAAGCCUUUUUCAGAUGGUUUUAUCUGCAAAAAAGAAGAGACUACUGACUUGAAAAACUUUUACAUGAAGAGGGCUACUUUGGGCUUCCAUGGUACCACAAAGAUGACUUUAGAAAGUCAUUUGGCAAAAUGCUGUGCUGCUGCUCGGGCUAAAUUGAGUGAAAAGACUGCACUGUGUGAAGAUUGCCAAUGCCUUAAUCCCAGCCCUGCACAAGAUAAAAGUGGUGACCUUGGAUGGCGAAUUUGUGAAAAGAGUGAGGAAGACUGGAUUAACAACCCAAAUCAGAGAUUGUUACAGAGACUGCAGAAAAACAAUGAAUGGAAAGCAAGUAUGCAGGUGUCUAAAACUGAAAGGAUUCAGAAAAAAGAAAGUAAAGAGUACUCACAAGAGAUCACACAAGAGGAAGACACAAUGUUUAUUGCUACCGGUGGUCAGUGUGCACACCCCAUGGAGAGCUAG